AAUAGAUACCCUGGUAGUCCCAGCUGUAAACGAUGCAGACUCGGUGAUGAAUUGGCUUAUUGCUAAUUCAGUGCCGCAGGGAAGCCGUUAAGUUUGCCGCCUGGGGAGUACGGUCGCAGGACUGAAACUUAAAGGAAUUGGCGGGGGAGCACCACAAGGGGGUGAAGCCUGCGGUUCAAUUGGAGUCAACGCCGGAAAUCUUACCGGGGGCGACAGCAGAGUGAAGGUCAAGCUGAAGACUUUACCAGACAAGCUGAGAGGAGGUGCAUGGCCGUCGCCAGCUCGUGCCGUGAGGUGUCCUGUUAAGUCAGGUAACGAGCGAGAUCCCUGCCUCUAGUUGCUACCAUUAUUCUCAGGAGUAGUGGAGCUAAUUAGAGGGACCGCCGUCGCUGAGACGGAGGAAGGUGGGGGCUACGGCAGGUCAGUAUGCCCCGAAACCCUCGGGCCACACGCGGGCUGCAAUGGUAAGGACAAUGAGUUUCGAUUCCGAAAGGAGGAGGCAAUCUCUAAACCUUACCACAGUUAUGAUUGAGGG
RNAcentral lists this ribosomal RNA (535 nucleotides) under uncultured bacterium. RNAcentral's name for it is "bacterial SSU rRNA". It matches the Rfam family "Archaeal small subunit ribosomal RNA", at positions 728 to 1260 of the family's 1478-position model. The record is from RNAcentral.